This 319-nucleotide ribosomal RNA is filed under the name uncultured eukaryote. Its description in RNAcentral is "partial 18S ribosomal RNA". It matches the Rfam family "Eukaryotic small subunit ribosomal RNA", at positions 1470 to 1796 of the family's 1831-position model. The record is from RNAcentral.
CCCUUAGAUGUUCUGGGCAGCACGCGCGCUACAAUGGUCUUCGCAAACGGAUGCAUUCUCGAAGGAGAAUGCCAAUCUUGGAAUCUAUGCCUUGGUCGGGACAGUUGCUUGCAAUUUUUCGACUCGAACCAGGAAUUCCUUGUAAUCGUGAUUCAUCACAUCACGAUGAAUACGUCCCUGCCCUUUGUACACACCGCCCGUCGCUCCUACCGAUCGAAGAGUUAGGUGAAUUGUUUUGAUCGAUAAGAUUUGACUAUGGUCAACUCUCGUUGUGAAAUUCUGUGAAUCUGACUGUUUAGAGGAAGGAAAAGUCGUAACG